UGCAAUCUCCGCUCAUGGUUUCGCCUCCGCCGGCUCCGGGUAGUGCUCCUCUGGCUUCGGUGGCAGCUCGUGCUUUGGCUCCUCCGGCACCUCUGGGUGCGGCAGCUCCGGCACGGUGGGGUGAGGAGGCAGCUCGGGCUUUGGCAGCUCCGGCACGGUGGGGUGAGGAGGCAGCUCGGGCUUUGGCAGCUCCGGCACGGUCGGGUGCUCUGGCACGGUGGGGUGAGGAGGGAGCUCGGGCUUUGGCUGCUCUGGCGCGACCGGGUGCGGCUCCUCAUGUUUUGGCAGCUCAGGCUCAGUAGGGUGAGGUGGCAGUUCAGGCUUCGGAAUCUCCGGCACAGGGUGCGGCACCUCGGGCUCGGUAGGGUGAGGAGGCAGUUCGGGCUUGGGCAGCUCUGGCACGGGGUGCGGCUCCUCAGGUUUGGGCAGCUCUGGCUCGGUUGGGUGAGGAGGCAGUUCAGGUUUGGGCAGCUCUGGCACGGGGUGCGGCGCCUCAGGCUUGGGCAUCUCCGGGACGGCGGGGUGGGGUGGCACCUCGGGCUUUGGCAGCUCAGGCACGGUAGGGUGCGGCGGCAGCUGGGGCUUGGGCAACUCCGGCACAGCAGGGUGCGGGUACUCCUCCUUGGGCGGCGCCUCCUCCAGCAACCGCGCCGCGCCGCUCAUGCCGCUGCAGGAGAGCAGCAGCGCCAUGAGGAGAAGCGAGGACAUGGUGGUGCUGCUGGAACUCCAAGCCAUGGCUGGGGUGGUUUGCACUCGUGAUCGAUCUACUGUGUGCUUCUUGUCCCGAUGAGAGAGCAAGAUCGUUGUGUGUGAUGGCUGGGAAGGGAGCGAGGCCUGGUAUUUAUAGCGCUCGAUGAAGCCCUUGAGCUCUCAUCGUUUGGUAGCUGGUAGGUCAUCUGCAUCAACGUGGUUGUUUAACUUUGUCCUUGCGAUAAGGUUUAAUUAGUUGGGAAAUCCUGAGACCUGGGUGAUCUGGUUGGUCGAUAUGAUGCAGUGGUAUUGUGGCGGCUCGUACGUGUGCAGUGUGUCUCAUCAUCAAAUCUAUUUUUGUUUGGCCACCGGGGGUGGUUGGGCAAAAUUAUGGACUUGCAUGUCAAGAAUCGACUUAGAAACAGACUAACAUGGAUACGUCUGUAGUGAGGAGAGGAUGGGUGGAUCUGCUUGCUCUAAACUAAAGAGACCCAGUUGAAAAUGACCCUACCGCCGAAACUUAUCCAAAGUGUUAUUUUUCUUUUUUGCUUGAUGCUUUAGCUUUCCUUUUUCAAUAAUUUCUUUGAGUUGUAAAUGUGAAGUAGUAACAUUUACAUAUAGAUGUCCUGGAAGAUAGAUGCACUUCAAGUAUAAAUUUGGGUACACUAUUGUCACAUGAAAAAAAAUAUUAAUAAGUCCACUAAAAUUAGUUCCAUAAAAAAAUUUAUGCCCAACUAAAGAUGUUGGAUUUAGUUAUUCCAAUAAGUAUACAUGAUGGUUGGAUUAGGAGUAGUUUGCCAAAUUUAUCUGCUUGUUUUCCAACCUAGCUUCUUCUUCAUGCAUAUGUAUAAAUGAUAUUUGUUUUGAAACAGGUUAUGCAUGCCGUCAUGGUCAAAAGCAUAUACUAUUGAAUUGUAGAGGUAGGAAAUGACGGGGAGGAAGAGGGAGAGCGCCGAGGUGAGGAAGAGGCGGACUUUGGGGGUCGAGGAUGGCGCUGAUGUCGGAGAUGCCGCUGAAGAGAUUGAGGUUGAAAAAGAGGCCGGCGAGGACGAACAUGAUGACGGAGGCGGCCACCAUGCUGGGCUCAUUGCGCUUCUCUGUGUAGGAUGACGUGAGGUUGCCGAUGCACGAGUUAAUUUCUACUACUGGGCAGCUGGGGAGACCCAUCGUUCUACAAGCUAGCUUGAGGGUCGUUUUCAGGGAUGCUAGCUACCAUGUAUGGCCUGCACGCAUAUAUAGGCCAGUGUGCAAGGUCAUCGUCGUCGUCAAUCGUCCGUCGAAUGGCAUCACGUGCAUGCCAAGUAAACUUGUUUUGCUUUGGUGUCAAGUACGUUGAGAUGGAUCGACGGAUUGUCGAUGCAUGUGUGGAUCAAGAGACGGCGUCGCAGGUUUAGAGGGCUCUUGGCAUGUGCAGAUGUGCUCUUGCUGAUCAUCACGUACGUGAUGAGCUAGCAGUCUUUGCUUUUAUUCUUCUUCUCCGUCUUUGUCUUUGGUAUCUGUUCCAUUUUUUCUUUUCUUUUCCGAUGUUUGCCAAAUCAAGGACGUACAGGGCCACGAACCUGAUUCACAUUAUAUUAUUGGAGCUAUGCUUUAACACGAUGAAUCCGCUGAAAGGCUGCACUAAUUAAAGAUUGAUGCAACUUUUUGUCAGCUGUAUGGAGCUUUUGUCAUGUGUAAGGCAACUCUAAAGUUGUGGAAACGAAGCCGAUAGUCUUUUAUUAUGAGCAAAUUCUAGUUACGGCAUCACCAUCAGCUCGAUCUCCGGUUAGGUUAUUGCUGGGAGCAUCUGAUCUGGUCAGGGGGCCGGCUAAUUGCUAGCUAGCAAAGCACAUGCACCUUUUGUUUCUGUAGCUGGAUACUGCACUUCUCUCUGUCCCUUCUAUAUAUCCCAGUCAGCCUAUUCCGAAAUGUGUUGAUGCACAUGAGGACUAUGGUGGUGGAAUCUCAUCUUCCUAGUUGUCUCGUUGUAACUGUAUCUUCUUAGUUUGUAAAUCAAUGGAAGGAAAGAAAAAUAUCCAUCGCAGCAAUGGUGCAUGAGUUUUCGCAUAGUGCUAAAUUUUAUCUUACAAGGUAGUUGUGUCAUGACACCUUCACGACCAUGCACAAGAUGACUGAUGUCACCAAUGUAUUUUUACGUGGAUCUUGAAUGAUGCUCGACUAUUUCCCCUCAAACAAAAUUAGUAGUUUGCUUGCUUGUUUAUUAGCAACUACUGAAUAUAGAUGGCACAAUCUUUUACAUGAUUUAAAGGGAAAUUGUAAUCAAACCCAAAUUUAAAGUCGAUAAUUAAAUACAUUUAGUCCGUCCACCGUACUCUCACAUGGGACUAAAAGUUUAGAGCGGCAUCAAAAGUAAAAAAAAUAGUAAAAAAGUUAAGCCCAUAGCUAAUAAUAAAAAAUAUUUAGAAUAAAGGAAAAAUAUUAUCACACUAGUAGAAAAAUGACCUUCCAUCCUCAACAAAAAUCUCAGGUGUUUUUGGACCCGGGACUAAAGCAAAUUUUGUAGUCCUUAGAGACACCUUUAGUCCCAGUUGACUAAAGGUGAUCCUGUAGUCCGUGGAGACAUCUUCAUGCAUAUAUAUAAAUGAUAUUUGUUUUGUAACAGGUUAUGCAUGCCGUCAUGGUCAAAAGCAUAUACUAUUGAAUUGUAGAGGCAUAAUCUUUUAAUAGUUACCUAUGAAUAAAUCAUUACUUAUAUAAGUUCUUUAGGUUGUCCGCGGUCAUAUUAUCUAUAUAUACUUAUUUUAUUUCACCAUCAAUCUUCUUUACAUGUAUGUUGAAGCCGAAUGACUGGAAGUAGUAUUGGUAGACUUAUAUAUUGAAAUGAAGUUUCAAAAUACAAAUUUAUAGUAUAAAAGUGCCAUUAUUUUACUUUUGUAAAUAUAUAACAAAAUAAACUAAUUGUAACUAGUGGCCUUAGCCUUGUGAUGGAACCUUCAUUCCUAACCGACUUCAAGUCCGUGACUUAGCACAUGUGCAUGUGCUCAUAUGUUCAACUUACUAUUUUUUAGUGGUAGACGAUAUGUCCAUUAACCGCGAGACACGGUGCAUUGUGUUUUGAAAAACAAAGCCUGAGCUGUUGGUAGCUACUUCCUCCGUCCCAAAUUACUUUUCGUUUUAGCUUUUCUAGAUACAUGACCUUUGAAAUGCACCUAGAUAAAUAUUAUGUCUAGAUACAUAGCAAAAUUUAUGUAUCUAGAAAAGUUAAAAUGAAUAAUAAUUUAGGACGGAGGGAGUAGAGUAGUAUCUAGGAGGUCCUUUUGCCAGAAGUGGAGCAGCUUUGGCACAACUGUUUUCCUUGUUUAUUUCCACAAACAUCCGUAUAGUCAUUCAUAUCUUAUUGCUAGAGGUAAAGGACUGUACUGAUUUGCAACAUUCUCACGCGCAAAAAAAAACUAAAAAUAUAAGCAAUUUUAAGCCACAUCUUCAUAAUAUACAUGUAAAUAGAAGUAUUUGGAGGACUCUAUUGAAUCAUAUACAGAAAUGAUAGUGCAUAUAUAACAUGAAGAUAAAUAAAUAAAUAAAAAACGUGUGAUACAUACCAUGCAUAGACUCGCAUGCAUACAAAGCAAUGUACAUUACAUCAUCAAAGUACAAGCAUAUACAUACAGAGUAAACUACUGGUAACAUCGAUCAUGCUCUCCUAGCUAGCCCAUGGCCAAAGAGGUCGCAGCCUCGCAGGCAUACGUCGAAUUUUACACCAUAUGUACGUACACGGUACACAGAUGUAGAAAAAGAAAAAGGUGGUUAUUGAUACUGGGGCAAUGCGGAUGCAAGUCGAUCAUGGCUUGGUAUCUGGCACCGGGUAGUGUCCCUCGGCCUUCGGUGGUAGCUCAGGUUCCGGCAGAGGUGGCAGCUCAUGCUUUGGCACCUCCGGCACGGCGGGAUGCUCAGGCACCUCAGGCUCGGCGGGGUGCUCCGGCACCUCAGGCUCCGGUAGCUCCGGCAUGGCGGGGUGUUCCGGCACUUCGGGCUUCGGCAGCUCAUCAGGCACGGCAGGGUGCUCCGGCACCUCAGAGGCUUUGGCAGCUCCGGCACCUCGGGCUUCGGCAGCUCGGGUACAGUAGGGUGAGGUGGCAGCUCAGGCUUCGGCAGUUCUGGUACGGCGGGGUGCGCCGGCACCUCGGGCUUCGGCGGCUCCGGCUCGACUGGGUGCGGCGGUAGCUCCGGCUUAGGCAGCUCAGGCACCGUGGGGUGCGGCGGAAGCUCGGGCUUGGCAGCUCCGGCACGGCAGGGUGUGGAUACUCCUCUUUGGGUGCCGCCUCCUCCAGCAACCGUGCCGCGGUGCUCAUGCCGCUGCUGCACGAGAGCAGCAGCUCCAUGAGGAUCCAUGAGGAGAAGGGAGGCUGGCAUGGUGCUCCUGGAAGCCAUAGCUAGGUUCUUUGCACUAAUGAAGCGAUCGAGAACAAGAUCGCUAUGCAUGGUGACUGGAAAGGGGUCGAGAGAAGCAUGGUAUUUGUAGUGCCAAAUUAUAAAAAUCGACCGAUCGUUUGGUAACUCUUCAUGAUUGUUUUUUUUCGAGAAUACGUAGGAGAGCUACGUAUCUUUGAAUUAAGAAAGGAAUAAAGUUUUAGUUACAAUAUGAGACUCCCCGGCACACGCACACAGUUCAACACUAUUAGUAGAGUGAUUACGUAGAGGAAACAACAACUGAAAACAAUGUCCCAAGCGAUUAGCUCACUAACUAGUUGUGCUUCCACCGGUACCGGCCAUCCUAAGAGGUGUUUAGCACCUGCACAGGACCAUAGCAGUGCUUCUUCCAGAAUGUCUUGUGCCAGUUGUGCAGCCUGCUUAGGAGAACCUCUUCUGAAGACUCGAUCGUUACGUUCUUUCCAUAACUUCCAUGAGACGAGCAUGAAGGUAGAGUCCAACCCUUUUCUCUGUUGAGCGUUGAUUCUCUGUCAUUUCUGAAUCCACCAAUCCAUGAGACCUAUACCUUGAGCUGGUGCCUGGUAUUGCAAUUGCAGUAGCGAGGUAAUGUUUUGCCAGACUUGCUGAGAGUAAGCACAUUGGACAAAAAGGUGAUCAGCGGUCUCCAAAUCCUGAUUGCAUAGCGCACAAGUUGUGUGGUCUUGUAAUUCCGCUGUCUAGAGAUGGUCUUUGGUAGCCAACCACAUGAAAGAGCCCAGGUCUUCCAAAUUAGCUUCCCCCCGGCGAACUUUGCUGCAUCAAUGAAGAACAUUCUUUAGGUUGAUCUUGCUAAGUAGGAGCCAGAUGACUCCCAUCUCCAAGUGAUCGUGUCUUCUAUGCCUAGGUUGAGGUGAAUCCGUUCCAUUUCGUGCCACAGCUGAAUGUAUUGUUGGAUGGCGCUUACUGUUACCGGUCUGACAAUAUCCGCUAUCCAUUGUUUCUGCUGCCACUACUAGAAAAAUGAGCAUUCGUCCUGAGGCUCAGUACUGGUUGCAUUUUGGCCCGGUACUAAUAUGAGCAUUAGUACCGGACCUAUUGGAUAGUCCCCGAGGAGGCCCCCCGUGACCCGCUUUAGUACCGGGAUGGAGCCUGUGCCUGAGGGCUUUUAGUACCGGGUGGAGCCUCCACCCGGUACUAAGGGGUUCCCUCUGUCCUCGCGCUGCCUUUUUAAUUUGCACUGGGCCCCUCGCUCCCUUAUCCUCUCCCUCCGCUCUCCUCAGCCUCCUACCCCCACAGUGCCAGGAGGUCCUUCUUCUCACCCUCAACGCUAGGAGCCCCUCCUUCCCCUUCCACCGGCCCCCUCCCUCCCUCUCUCCGGCCUUCCCUCUCCUCUCCCCUCCGCUCGCCCCUCACCUCGUGCCUGAGGCGAGGAGCGGCGGCGGCCAUCGGGCGGAGGGCGACAGCGGGGCAAAGGGCAGCGAGGCGGAGGUAGGGCGGGUGGGGACGGGGGGCGGUGGCGGAAGGAGGGUGGAGGGCGGGCGGAGGGAGGGUGGAGGGCGGGUGGUGGGAGGGGUGGCGUGGCGGGGGGCGGCUAGCGGGAGGGGGUGGGCAGUGAGAGGGGGGAAGCGGGGGUAGGGCCGGUAGAGGAUUUUGUUUUUUUUUAAUUUUUUAAUACCGUUUAGUACCGGUUAUUUCAACCGGUACUAAAGGUCCUCUUUAGUACCGAACUACCAGUACCAGUUGCAAAACCGGUACUAAAGGGGUUCUCAAUCGGUACUAAAGGCGUUUUCCAUAGCAGUGUACAUUGCUUCCGCAACCGUUCACCUUUUCUUGGUUCGCGCUCUUAUGAGGUUGCACAGAAUCGGGGGCGAUGGUACAUGGGGAGGAGUCACCAUCCCCAUGGUUGUUAAAUUAGGAUCCGUGAGCUCUCGUUCUCUUGAUCCAUGCAUCCUUUGAUUUGUUCGGAAUGCUGCGCGACUUGCAUUGAGAGAGAUCAGCUGGUCGUUGGUUGAAUCACUUUCUUGGCACCUUGCGUUGUGGCUACACACGUGUGCGACGUAUCCCAUCGUCUCAUCGUUGUGCAAGUGUUUGGCCACCGGAUAACGCAAAGUAUAGGGACGUCAUUCAUGUCAAGGACAGGCUGAGACUGAGAAACCAACAUGAUCACGUGUUGCGAGCUGGACGAGAAACGCCUUACCAACCAUCAUUAGAUCAAAGCAGCGCAGUGGCGAGAUGGAAUACAAUCACUCCAUUGACAAGGGGUGGAUCUAGAUCCAAUACAACCCAAUUGAAAUAUAUAUACGUACUUACAGAAAGUAUCGUAUGUCCAGGGAAAAAGUGUUUUAAGGUUUUUAAUUAUGUCGAUGUAAUGAUCUUGAAACUAAUAAAGAUUCCAUUAUCAGAAAAAAAAAUUGGAGGAAAAAGCCCUGCAUGUCCCCUCCCAACUCUCAAUCUCACAAGCAAGGACUAAAUACUUUUUACUAGAUAUCAAGCAUAUUUCAGUAACAAUGAAUUGAUUUUCAUAGCAGUUGUAAAGCGAGUUGAAAAUGGCCCCUACAAUAAAUGUUGAAGGGCCUUUUUUCCUACAUCGAUAAUUUUAGAUUUUAAACAAGUUGCAUCAGCUUACAUGCACUCCUGAAUUAUCACCCACGUUGUGUGCUAUGCAAGUUCUUUAGUUGGCUAGCUAUCCAAGACAGGAUAUGGAUAUCGGAUCGACUAGAGCGUCGGGGAUGGCCCAGUAACCCACGUUGUGUGCUAUGCAAUACUACACAGGAGACCGGUUAUCACCUUUUCACCGACUGUCACUUUGCAAAGACAAUUUGGAUAGGGAUGAGUGCACGGACAAGGUGUGCAGAUAUUAACCCGAGUCAUUGGGACAUGCAUGACUCUUUACACAAUUGGUGGACAGCUUUAGUGGCCGCUCUAGUGGUCGGCAAAAUAGGGUUGCGUAGUCUAAUUAUCCUUGUCCUAUGGGAAAUUUGGGCGAAGAGAAACGCGAUGAUACUUCAACACAAGGAGCAGACAGUUAAUCGAGUACUUAACAAGAGCAAAGACCAGACUGCUACAUGGAUCGGGGUAGGAGCUAAACAUUUAGAGUAUUUCAUUUACGCGACAUGACAUUUGUAGUUGCCCCUUCUGAGUUUCUAGCAGGGUUUUGUUUAUCUUUUCCGCUGACGGGACGAUAGUGUACAGUAUGUAAAGAACCUUUUGUUUCUCGGCCCCUCGGACUUUCCUCUUUUUUAAUAUAGCAUCAGCCACUGGCUCGUUUCAAAAAAAAAAGAUUUCUUCGAAACACAGUUACACAUCCCGGGAGCAAACUCAUUAACACCUCCGCUAAAAUGUGUUCUACAGUUCAUCAUAGUUCACACUUCACACGCAAAUGAGCACCCCUCCUACAAGUUCUCCAACAUCAAAUAGAUUCGACGUUUCCUCCAGAUUUGGGAUUAAAUUUAGUGAGGUAUAUGUUGGAUAUAUAUUCCUACAUCCACAAAUUAGCGAGUGUACUGCACUACUACUAGGGCAUUCAUUAUAUUAGCAUGUGUGUGUAUGUGGUGCACGUGGUUGUUUGGUAAAAUUGCAUAGACACCCCUAUAAAAGACCACUUCAAGUUUGGCAUUGCUCCCCAUAAGUUAUUAUGUUACAAAUACCCACCCACCUACUUAAUUCUAUUGCAAAUAUCCACCCAGUGUGUGCAAACUUAACCGAUUCAACAUGAUUUCAAAAAUAGCGAGCUGCCAAUGUGAUCUUUAUUGAAAUUAAAUACUUCUAGGAGUAUAAUCUUGAAAUUUUUUUGGAGACUCCACAAAAAUAAUUGGUAAAAUUGUGCAUAUUGGGGUGGUUUUUUGCAACAAAAUUGAGUAUCAUGGUGGGUAUUUGCAAUAAAAUGACUUAUGAGGGGCAAUGUGAAACUUGAAGUAGCUUAUUGGGGGUUUCUGCAAUUUUACCUUACUAGAAUAUAAAUCAAUGUUUCCUCUUGUUUCUAGUUCUAAGGGAGAAUAUUUUGCUCACUUUUGGAAAUAUAAUGCAAUCAUUUGGAAAUGAUUUUGCAUUUCAUUCAUCCAUAGAGAGGCGAUAUUAGAUGCAAUUGGUAAUGAAAUGCAUCUAGAACCUUUUCUUUCCUAGAAUACUAGUAUAUGUGAAAAUGUUCAGUGAAAACAGACUUUCCUUUUCUUUUUACCAGUGGGAACUGAAUUUUUUCUAGUUAUUGGGAUCGACGUAUAUGUUAUGACAAACAAUUCCUACAAGACUUGCAAUUUUUAGUUUUGGAUAAACUAGGUUUUAGAUGAUUCACAUUGUGAAAUUGGUUUACUAAUUUUUUCUAAUUAUUUUUGCAAUGCAUUAAAGACAUACAUGGAAAUGAAGUAAGCAAGUGCAUUUGACGGGACACUGAUCCUUCAUUAGAACUAGAAACACCCAUAGAUUAAUCCAACACAAAGAAUGCUUAUGGGGAAUCCUUCAUAUAGUACUGCUACAUUGAAAGCCUACUUAUCUUGUAGUCAGUCAUGUAUGUAUUUUCAUGCCCACAUCAUUUGUAGAGUUUGGACAUCCAGAUAACUCUUUAAUUACUGAUUAAAUAUUACUCCAAGAUAAAUGAAACACAUCUCAUACACAUACUCUGUAUAUAUAUAGUGCAUAAUAAAGGACAAUAUAUACGUACAUCACCAAACAUACAACAUUGAAAAGUAACAAUCCUAAAGCUAGCUUGUGACCAACAAGAUCACAUUCAAACAUAAAAAUAUCACACCAUAAUACACAAGCACAUAACGUUUUUAUUACAGGGGCGACAGUGAUGCAGUCCGAUCAUGGCUUGGUCUCUGGCUCUGGGUAGUGGCUCUCGGGUUUCGGCGGCAGCUCAUGCUCUGGUACCUCCGGCACGUCCGGGUGGGGCAGCUCCGGCUUUGGUAGCUCUGGCACCGUGGGGUGAGGAGGCAGCUCAGGCUUCGGCAGCUCCGGCACGGCGGGGUGCUCCGGCACCUCUGGCUUCGGCAGCUCUGGAACGGCGGGGUGAGGAGGGAGCUCGGGCUUCGGCAACUCCGGCACUUCGGGGUGCGCAGGCACCUCAGGCUUCGGCAGCUCAGGCACGGUGGGAUGAGGUGGCAGCUCAGUCUUCGGCAGCUCGGGUACGGCGGGGUGCUCCGGCAGCUCCGGCACCGUGGGGUGCGGCGGCAGCUCGGGCUUUGGCAGCUCCGGCACGGCAGGGUGUGGGUACUCCUCCUUGGGUGCCACCUCCUCCAGCACCCGCGCCGCGCCGCUCAUGCCGCUGCACGAGAGCAGCAGCGCCAUGAGGAGAACAAGGGAAGCCAUGGUGCUCCUGGCAGCCAUGACUGGAUCGAUGCUUAACACUUGUGAGCUUUUCUGUGCCUCGAGUCUCAGUAUGUAGAGCGAACUAGAUCGUUGUGUGAUGGCUGGGAGGGGAGGGGAGCAUGGUAUUUGUAGUGCAAAACGCAUGUCCUGUAACCACGAUCGAUCAGGUGAGCGUUUACGUCCUGGAGCAUCUUGUAUUUUGGUAGCAGCUGGUAGGUCAUCUGCAUCUUUGGGUGGUUAAAAUUUUGUCCUCGAUUCGUGUCCUCGUGAUCUCCCUCCUGACCCCUGCUUGCGUAUGAUUUAGUUGGUUGGGAAUACACUGAUAUCUGAUCGAUCUGGUUGGUUGAAGCACUACAUGUUUUUUGGCAACACGUGUGCGAUUUAUCUAAUUGACCCGUAUGUGUUUGGCCAGCAGAUGAUGCAAAGGACGUGCAAAUGUCAAGGACAGAUUGAGAUUUGUACAAGCAUGAGCUAUAAAGUCCACGCUGAUGAGAUGUGUGGUUCGGAAGCAGUUCUGAAGUUAGUUGAAAAUGACUAGUGACGUGUGAAAUGUCCAAAGGGGCCUUGCUUCUCAUUUUUGGCCUGGCCAUUUUUCAAAUAACUUACGUCAGUUUACAUGCACUGAUAUGGUAGCAUAGAGAAGAAGGCUUAGUUGUUUUGCUUCCCUCAGUUGCUUUAGAACAUUAUUUCUCAGAGAAUCAAUAUUGAGGCAUGCAUGUUCCAAGAUACGUGUUGGGCGGCAUGCAUAUGCAUGCUCAAAGAUACGAGUUGGGCGUGGUGAUUUGAAUUGUCAGAGAAAUAUAUUUUGGGCUCUUGAAAAUAAAAUUCAAUUGUUUGAUAACUGCUUUUGCAUUUUGUUCAUCAGGGCAACAUUUUAAUAAUUAACUGGUAAUAACAUGUGCUGUUAUUUAUUAUUUAAUUUGGCCUCAGUGAUAAUAUAUAUGUGGAGACAUUAUUUCAUCAAAGCUGAAAUCUUUUAUCGACAAAAGUAUUUGUAAAUAAAAUGCUUUGUAUUUCUUUUUUUAUCUUUUGAUAAAAAGAGAAAGUGGAGUGGCAUUUGUUUUUGAUAAAAAGAGAAAGUGGAGUGGCAUUUGUUUCCCACAGAACUCUUUACUGUUUUGGAAAAACUUGUGUACCUGAAUUUUUGUUCUUUUGAAACAGAUUAGGUUGUAGAUAGUUGGACUCGAAACUGAACUACCAACUUUAUUUCUUUGUUUGUGUCGGUAAUGCAUUAAGAACAUGCUUAAAUGACAUGAAUUUUGAUAAGGUUUAUGGAAAUGGAACAAAGGAAGGACAAUCACAUGUCUAAGAAUGAACCCCUUUAAUGUAUCAACACAAGCAGCUACGUAGAAAACAUAAGGUAUUUAAUUCAUCAUAGUGGUUCUAAAUUCAAGGCUGUGACACAUACAUUUUCAGCCACAUAUUUAACAUAUGCAUACCUUGUGCACAACUAAUUUGGAGAUUUCAUUGUUUACUCCCAUGGUUUGAAAUUAUGAGUAUUUUUGUUUCAUUAGGAUAACCCUUUGAUCAAUAAUUUCUCUAUUAUAGUACAUGAUUUUUGUGACAGGAACUGAUGUCAUUUAAUUCGUAAACAUACUUUCUUAGUAGUAUACUUUUGUACCAUAUAAAUAAAAUAACAAUAGUGUAACUGUGGGCCAAAUUCAGCCCUAACAAAACGAAGUACGCCUUGAAAUUACAAAUGGAAGGAUUAUAUAAUAAGAGACCAUAAUAAUGUAAUGAAAAAAUACGUGUAUAUAUAUCAUACGCCAAAAGCAAUACACGGGUAACAUCAUCAACCGACAAAUCAAAGGAGCACAACGUACAACCCUGAACGUCAGGCUCCUACUGCAACAUCAGAUACACACAAGUACAGAACGUAUUUUACUACUGGGGAAACACGGGUGUAGCUCGAUCAUGGCUUGGCCUCUGGCACCGGGUAGUGGCCCUCCGGCUUCGGCACCUCCGGCACGUGAGGCGCUUCUGGCUUUGGCAGCUCCGGUACUUCGGGGUGAGGCGGCAGUUCAGGCUUCGGCAGCUCCGGGUGCGGCAGCUCGGGCUUCGGCACCUCCGGGUGCGGCAGCUCUGGCUUUGGUACUUCAGGCACGGCGGGGUGCGGCAGCUCGGGCUUCGGCACCUCUGGUACGUGAGGGUGUGGCAGCUCCGGCACGGCUGGGUGUGGCAGCUCCGGCUUGGGAACCUCUGGCACAGGGUGAGGGAUCUCCGGCUUUGGGUGCUCCGGCACGGUGGGGUGCGGUGGCAGUUCAGGCUUGGGCAACUCCGGCAAGGUAGGGUGCGGUGGCAGUUCAGGCUGCUUCGGGUGCUCUGGCUCGGUGGGGUGCGGUGGCAGUUCAGGCUUUGGGUGCUCUGGCACGGUAGGGUGUGGAGGCAGCUCAGGCUUUGGGAGCUCCGGCACGGUGGG
This 12760-nucleotide long non-coding RNA is filed under the name Setaria italica (foxtail millet). RNAcentral describes it as "long non-coding RNA (SITA_LNC001642)". The record is from RNAcentral. Lineage: Eukaryota; Viridiplantae; Streptophyta; Magnoliopsida; Poales; Poaceae.